RNAcentral lists this ribosomal RNA (451 nucleotides) under uncultured eukaryote. RNAcentral's name for it is "bacterial SSU rRNA". It matches the Rfam family "Eukaryotic small subunit ribosomal RNA", at positions 1305 to 1792 of the family's 1831-position model. The record is from RNAcentral.
AGUGAUUUGUCUGGUUAAUUCCGUUAACGAACGAGACCUUAACCUACUAACUAGUACGACGUGACGAACGUUAGUUACUUCUUAGAGGGACAAUGUGUAUUUUUUAACUACAAGGAAGUUUAAGGCAAUAACAGGUCUGUGAUGCCCUUAGAUGUCCUGAGCCGCACACGCGCUACAAUGACACUUUCAAUAAGUUUUUGCUGGUCCGACAGGAUUUCGGCUAAUCUUUUUAGUAAGUGUCGUGCUAGGGAUAGAUCUUUGCAAUUGUGGAUCUUGAACGAGGAAUUCCUAGUAAGCACAAGUCAUCAGCUUGUGCUGAUUACGUCCCUGCAAAAUGUACACAUCGCCCGUCGCUUGCUCCGAUUGAGUAAUCUGGUGAGCCUUCUUGACUGAGUAAGUAAUUACGAAGAAAAUUAAGCAAACCAUAUUACUUAGAGGAUGAAGAAGUCGU